AUGGAGUAAGCCAUUGUCACCCUGUCCAAUUAGUAGGCUUCCCAUAAAUAUCUGGAAAGAAGCAGCAUGUAGGCCUUUGGCCUUAUAUUGCAGAGCUAGCAAAACUGAGUAUUUUCCUAGACCCUGAAGACUGACCAAAGAACCACAGCCAAAAUGUAUUGACUACUUUUCUCAUACGGCUACUCUCUCUUUUGUGAUGAAUGGUGCUGAAAUGAUGGCACUUUCCAAGGGGACCACCCAGAGUCAAGAGAAGGAAUGCUUUCACACAGCUGACAGCUUCUGGGCUAGUCUUUUUAAAAAUUGUCUUUUCAAUCUGUCAUUCAUAAAACAAUAGAUUCCUGUA
Molecule: long non-coding RNA, 343 nt
Organism: Anolis carolinensis (green anole)
Lineage: Eukaryota; Metazoa; Chordata; Lepidosauria; Squamata; Anolidae
Exons: 2
Source: RefSeq, a predicted model, not a curated record